RNAcentral lists this ribosomal RNA (269 nucleotides) under uncultured bacterium. Its description in RNAcentral is "partial 16S ribosomal RNA". It matches the Rfam family "Bacterial small subunit ribosomal RNA", at positions 333 to 600 of the family's 1533-position model. The record is from RNAcentral.
UAAUGCCACGGGGGGCAGCAGUGAGGAAUAUUGGUCAAUGGGCGCGAGCCUGAACCAGCCAAGUCGCGUGAAGGAUGACUGCCCUACGGGUUGUAAACUUCUUUUAUAAAGGAAUAAAGUGAGGCACGUGUGCCUUUUUGUAUGUACUUUAUGAAUAAGGAUCGGCUAACUCCGUGCCAGCAGCCGCGGUAAUACGGAGGAUCCGGGAGUUAUCCGGAUUUAUUGGGUUUAAAGGGAGCGGAGAUGGGUUGUUAAGUCAGUUGUGAAAG